Priapulus caudatus is the source of this 520-nucleotide RNA transcript. It is a transcript of the gene named plexin A3-like, with no coding region annotated. The record is from RefSeq and is a predicted model, not a curated record. The transcript is spliced from 5 exons. Lineage: Eukaryota; Metazoa; Priapulida; Priapulimorpha; Priapulimorphida; Priapulidae.
UGGCCACCAUGAUGCAGGUUGAUGAUGAGAGUCGCCGCGCCGGCGUACAGAGGGCGCUACGGCAGUUCGGCCAGCUCGUCGACAAUAGAACGUUCCUGCUGACGUUCGUGCGCACGCUCGAGGCGAACAAAUACUUCACGAUGAAAGACCGCGUUAGUUUCGCUUCCUUCCUCAUGGUGGCGCUGCAGGGCAAGAUGGAGUACUGCACCGAAAUACUGAAGACACUGUUGUACAGAGCUGAUAGAAAAAUUCCAUUCAGGAAAAUGUCAUCCAAAAGCUUCUGCUCUCGAAGAACGGGAAUCCGUAGCUGAGAAGAUGCUCCGCCUGGUUUACAUUCCUACUCUAUCGUCUACUACAGGAGAGUGUGGGUGACCCCUCUCUACAAGUUAUGCAUGGCUGUGCAGCAGCAGAUAGACAAGGGACCGGUCGACGCGGUGACGGCCGAAGCCAAAUACUCGCUGAGCAAUGACAAGCUCAUACGCCAACAAGUGGAGUACAAGUCCAUGACGAUAUAGGUGUG